Mauremys mutica (yellowpond turtle) is the source of this 2076-nucleotide RNA transcript. It is a transcript of the gene named checkpoint kinase 2, with no coding region annotated. Lineage: Eukaryota; Metazoa; Chordata; Testudines; Geoemydidae. The transcript has 18 exons. The record is from RefSeq and is a predicted model, not a curated record.
GCUACAGCCGGAUUGGCUGCGUUUAUAAGAAGAAUCGCGCGGGGCGCAUGCGCAAUGAGCGGCGAGGUCGGGGUCGGAGUCGGGUCACCAUUCAUUCGUUCCGCGCGCGGAUUAUUUCGUGCUCUGAUGCCUAUUUCUUGCGCAAGUGUAGCAGCUGAUUAUAUAAGCUUCAUGUCAUUGUGUACCUAUGUAGAGUAUCUGCAAUCAAGGUUGAGACUUUAGCCAAGAUGUCUCGAGAGACUGGAAAUGAAUCCCAGCAAUCUCAAGGUGCCCAGCAGUCUCAGAGUGGUACAAGUUCUUCCUCCAGUGGAUCACAGAGUGCCAGUCAGUCGUCUUCCAGUUCUGGGACCCUCAGUUCUUUGGACACAGUUCCUACUCAGGAACUUCCUUCAAUUCCUGAGGAUCAGGAACCUGAAGAAAUCAUUCCUCAGCCAUGGGGUCGACUCUUUGCACUUGGAAAGGGUUUCUGCAAUUAUGACUGCGUGAAUGACGAGUGUUGGUUUGGCAGAGACAGAAGCUGUGAUUAUAGCUUUGCUAAACUAGGGUUGACCGAGACAGGCUUAUACCAAAACUACAGCAAGAAGCACUUCCGAAUCUUCAGGGAAAUGGGACCAAGAAACUCCUAUGUUGCCUACAUUGAGGACCACAGUGCAAAUGGGACUUUUUUAAAUAAAGAGCUCAUUGGGAAAGGGAAAAGGCUCCCAUUGACUCACAAUUCUGAAAUUGCACUGUCUGUACAGACUAACAAAGCGUUUGUAUUUUCUGAUCUUAUGGUGGAUGAUCAGUCAGGGUAUCCCAGAGAAUUGAGAGAGAAAUAUAUCAUGUCAAAGACUUUGGGAAGUGGUGCCUGUGGAGAGGUUAAACUGGCAUUUGAGAGGACCACGUGUAACAAAGUUGCUGUAAAGAUAAUCAAUAAACGGAGAUUUAUAACAAGCGCUGUGAGAGACGCAGAUCCAGCUUUUAAUGUUAAUACAGAAAUUGAGAUUUUGAAGAAAAUAAAUCAUCCCUGCUUAAUCAAGAUAAAAAACUUCUUUGAUGCAGAAGAUUAUUAUAUUGUUUUGGAAUUGAUGGAAGGAGGAGAGUUAUAUGACAGAGUGUCGAGAUCAACCAGAAUGAAAGAAGCUACCUGCAAGCUCUAUUUUUAUCAGAUGCUGUUGGCUGUAAAGUAUCUUCAUGAAAAUGGUAUUAUACAUCGGGAUCUAAAGCCAGAAAAUGUGCUACUUUCCUCUUCUGAGGAAACUUGUCUUAUAAAGAUUACAGAUUUUGGACAAUCCAAGAUUCUUGGAGAAUCAUCACUUAUGAAAACAUUAUGUGGUACUCCCACGUAUCUCGCCCCUGAAGUUCUCAAUUCACUUGGGACAGCUGGGUAUAGCCGUGCUGUGGAUUGCUGGAGUUUAGGAGUUAUUCUUUUUGUAUGCCUGUGUGGAUAUCCACCAUUCAAUGAACAAAAUACUCAGCUAUGUCUGAAAGAUCAAAUUACCCGUGGAGAAUACACAUUUAUUCCAAGAGAAUGGAAGCAUGUGUCAGAUAUGGCUUUGGAUCUUGUGAAGAAGCUGUUAGUAGUGGAUCCAAAUAAACGUCUUACAACGGAAAAAGCCUUGGAACAUCCCUGGCUUCAGAUGCCAGGCCACUUGAACACCACCAGAGGAGCCACUUGAGCUCCUGUAACUGUGUGCAGUGAGGAGCUGAUGGCCCUCCACUCUCUCUGCCAUUGUCUGCAGCAACCCUGGCCUAGUGGAAGCAGCAAGAUUGGCUUCUUCUCCUUGCUUCCAGCUACUUUUACAGGCAGUGAGGAACCUGGAUACCUGUAGCAGGAGCUGAGAACCAGGAGAACAGUAUCCUGUGACCAAUCAGCCUGUCCACAGACCACCACCAUGUGCUUCAUGGUUCACAGUUUGGGAACUUCUUUAUGAGCAAAUUGUGUCUCCAGUGGGGUAUUGGGAUGAAAGUAUGAAGAGCACAUUUCAAGAGCUACUCUCACAAACAAGAGUCUCUAUGCAUCCACCACAGACAUCAAGACUACCAACCACAACCAGAAAACGUCCCCAUGAAAAGGAAGAGGAAGCUGGGUCUUCU